CUUGCGGGCUGGCUUACCAUGCAGUCGACGAUGAUGCCCAGCUUGCUGGGUGGAUUAGUGGCGAACGGGUGAGUAACACGUGAGUAACCUGCCCUUGACUUCGGGAUAACUCCGGGAAACCGGGGCUAAUACCGGAUAUGAGCCGCCUUCGCAUGGGGGUGGUUGGAAAGUUUUUCGGUCAGGGAUGGGCUCGCGGCCUAUCAGCUUGUUGGUGGGGUGAUGGCCUACCAAGGCGACGACGGGUAGCCGGCCUGAGAGGGCGACCGGCCACACUGGGACUGAGACACGGCCCAGACUCCUACGGGAGGCAGCAGUGGGGAAUAUUGCACAAUGGGCGAAAGCCUGAUGCAGCGACGCCGCGUGAGGGAUGAAGGCCUUCGGGUUGUAAACCUCUUUCAGCAGGGAAGAAGCGCAAGUGACGGUACCUGCAGAAGAAGCGCCGGCUAACUACGUGCCAGCAGCCGCGGUAAUACUUAUGGCGCAAGCGUUGUCCGGAAUUAUUGGGCGUAAAGAGCUCGUAGGCGGUUUGUCGCGUCUGGUGUGAAAACUCGAGGCUCAACCUCGAGCUUGCAUCGGGUACGGGCAGACUAGAGUGCGGUAGGGGAGACUGGAAUUCCUGGUGUAGCGGUGGAAUGCGCACAUAUCAGGAGGAACACCGAUGGCGAAGGCAGGUCUCUGGGCCGCAACUGACGCUGAGGAGCGAAAGCAUGGGGAGCGAACAGGAUUAGAUACCCUGGUAGUCCAUGCCGUAAACGUUGGGCACUAUGUGUGGGGCUCAUUCCACGAGUUCCGUGCCGCAGCAGACGCAUUAAGUGCCCCGCCUGGGGAGUACGGCCGCAAGGCUAAAACUCAAAGGAAUUGACGGGGGCCCGCACAAGCGGCGGAGCAUGCGGAUUAAUUCGAUGCAACGCGAAGAACCUUACCAAGGCUUGACAUGCACGGGAAGCCACCAGAGAUGGUGGUCUCUUUGGACACUCGUGCACAGGUGGUGCAUGGUUGUCGUCAGCUCGUGUCGUGAGAUGUUGGGUUAAGUCCCGCAACGAGCGCAUCCCUCGUCCCAUGUUGCCAGCGGGUAAUGCCGGGGACUCAUGGGAGACUGCCGGGGUCAACUCCGAAGGAAAGU
Molecule: ribosomal RNA, 1123 nt
Filed under: bacterium AW17
Lineage: Bacteria
Description: bacterial SSU rRNA
Rfam family: Bacterial small subunit ribosomal RNA
Source: RNAcentral